RNAcentral lists this ribosomal RNA (460 nucleotides) under uncultured bacterium. Its description in RNAcentral is "partial 16S ribosomal RNA". It matches the Rfam family "Bacterial small subunit ribosomal RNA", at positions 338 to 795 of the family's 1533-position model. The record is from RNAcentral.
CCUACGGGGGGCUGCAGUGAGGAAUAUUGGUCAAUGGACGAGAGUCUGAACCAGCCAAGUAGCGUGAAGGAUGACUGCCCUAUGGAUUGUAAACUUCUUUUAUAUGGGAAUAAAAUGUUCCACGUGUGGGAGUUUGUAUGUACCAUAUGAAUAAGGAUCGGCUAACUCCGUGCCAGCAGCCGCGGUAAUACGGAGGAUCCGAGCGUUAUCCGGAUUUAUUGGGUUUAAAGGGAGCGUAGGUGGAUUGUUAAGUCAGGUGUGAAAGUUUGGGGCUCAACCGUAGAAUUGCAGUUGAAACUGGCAGUCUUGAGUACAGUAGAGGUGGGCGGAAUGCGUGGUGUAGCGGUGAAAUGCUUAGAUAUCACGAAGAACUCCGAUUGCGAAGGCAGCUCACUGGACUGCAACUGACACUGAGGCUCGAAAGUGUGGGUAUCAAACAGGAUUAGAUACCCCUGUAGUC